UGUAUGGCUAGGCUGGGUGGUUGACCCUCACCUGUCACGUCAAACGGGUCGUUGGACGAGUCGAAGCAUAAGGGGCGGCAGCGUUAGUAUUGAUGGUCUUUUGUAAACUGUUGAUACCCUGUCCUUCUUGGUCGUUAUGCAUACUAACCUGGUCAAAGACGGCAAGCAGGGAACAGAAACCGGCAUACUGUCUUCCAGAGAGGCCCUGACGGGAGCAGCCAUACGUAUGCACAUCGGUGUUUGAAGGGUUGCAGGGAGAAGGAAUACGAAAGGUUAAGCUAUCGGUGUUAGUGUCUGUCCACCCUUGUGCGCGCCACCUU
This 320-nucleotide signal recognition particle RNA is filed under the name Nanobdellota archaeon. RNAcentral's name for it is "signal recognition particle sRNA". It matches the Rfam family "Archaeal signal recognition particle RNA". The record is from RNAcentral. Lineage: Archaea; Nanobdellati; Nanobdellota.